UAGGGAAUCUUCCGCAAUGGGCGAAAGCCUGACGGAGCAACGCCGCGUGAGUGAUGAAGGUCUUCGGAUCGUAAAACUCUGUUAUUAGGGAAGAACAAAUGUGUAAGUAACUAUGCACGUCUUGACGGUACCUAAUCAGAAAGCCACGGCUAACUACGUGCCAGCAGCCGCGGUAAUACGUAGGUGGCAAGCGUUAUCCGGAAUUAGUGGGCGUAAAGCGCGCGUAGGCGGUUUUUUAAGUCUGAUGUGAAAGCCCACGGCUCAACCGUGGAGGGUCAUUGGAAACUGGAAAACUUGAGUGCAGAAGAGGAAAGUGGAAUUCCAUGUGUAGCGGUGAAAUGCGCAGAGAUAUGGAGGAACACCAGUGGCGAAGGCGACUUUCUGGUCUGUAACUGACGCUGAUGUGCGAAAGCGUGGGGAUCAAACAGU
Molecule: ribosomal RNA, 429 nt
Filed under: Actinomycetes bacterium
Lineage: Bacteria; Bacillati; Actinomycetota; Actinomycetes
Description: Actinobacteria bacterium partial 16S ribosomal RNA
Rfam family: Bacterial small subunit ribosomal RNA
Source: RNAcentral